This 403-nucleotide ribosomal RNA is filed under the name Fusobacteriota bacterium. RNAcentral describes it as "Fusobacteria bacterium partial 16S ribosomal RNA". It matches the Rfam family "Bacterial small subunit ribosomal RNA", at positions 355 to 776 of the family's 1533-position model. Lineage: Bacteria; Fusobacteriati; Fusobacteriota. The record is from RNAcentral.
UGGGGAAUAUUGCACAAUGGAGGGAACUCUGAUGCAGCGACGCCGCGUGAACGAAGAAGGCUUUCGAGUCGUAAAGUUCUUCUAUAUGGGAAGAUAAUGACGGUACUAUAAGAAAAAGCCCAGGCUAACUACGUGCCAGCAGCCGCGGUAAUACGUAGGGGGCUAGCGUUGUCCGGAAUCACUGGGCGUAAAGGGUUCGCAGACGGAAAUGCAAGUCAGGUGUAAAAGGCAGUAGCUUAACUACUGUAAGCAUUUGAAACUGCAUAUCUUGAGAAGAGUAGAGGUAAGCGGAAUUUUUAGUGUAGCGGUGAAAUGCGUAGAUAUUAAAAAGAAUACCGGUGGCGAAGGCGACUUACUGGGCUCAUUCUGACGCUGAGGAACGAAAGCGGGGGUAGCAAACAGG